This 302-nucleotide long non-coding RNA is filed under the name Oryctolagus cuniculus (rabbit). Its description in RNAcentral is "lncRNA (ENSOCUG00000032663.1)". The record is from RNAcentral. Lineage: Eukaryota; Metazoa; Chordata; Mammalia; Lagomorpha; Leporidae.
GCCAUCUUGGCAUGGCCUUCUCAUCCCACCACACAUCACUACUUGAUAUUUUUAUAGUUUCCUUUUUUCCUUAAGCAGAAUCAAUUUUCCAUGUGGAUAGAAAUUUUUCAGGCAAGUGUAGCACUGGGAAAAGUUCUACAGGUCCAAACUGGUGAAAGCUCAAUCUGCCUUGAAGCCAGAUGUACUUGAAUUAUGGUAAGUGAAACACCAAACCAUUUAAAUUGGCAAAUAUAUUAAGGAUAUUGGCAUUACAAAAUACCGUUUGAUAGGGAAAAUGUUACAUGAACUGAGACAAUGCCUAU